GAUGAACGCUGGCGGCGUGCCUAAUACAUGCAAGUCGAGCGAACGGACGAGAAGCUUGCUUUUCUGAUGUUAGCGGCGGACGGGUGAGUAACACGUGGAUAACCUACCUAUAAGACUGGGAUAACUUCGGGAAACCGGAGCUAAUACCGGAUAAUAUUUUGAACCGCAUGGUUCAAAAGUGAAAGACGGUCUUGCUGUCACUUAUAGAUGGAUCCGCGCUGCAUUAGCUAGUUGGUAAGGUAACGGCUUACCAAGGCAACGAUGCAUAGCCGACCUGAGAGGGUGAUCGGCCACACUGGAACUGAGACACGGUCCAGACUCCUACGGGAGGCAGCAGUAGGGAAUCUUCCGCAAUGGGCGAAAGCCUGACGGAGCAACGCCGCGUGAGUGAUGAAGGUCUUCGGAUCGUAAAACUCUGUUAUUAGGGAAGAACAUAUGUGUAAGUAACUGUGCACAUCUUGACGGUACCUAAUCAGAAAGCCACGGCUAACUACGUGCCAGCAGCCGCGGUAAUACGUAGGUGGCAAGCGUUAUCCGGAAUUAUUGGGCGUAAAGCGCGCGUAGGCGGUUUUUUAAGUCUGAUGUGAAAGCCCACGGCUCAACCGUGGAGGGUCAUUGGAAACUGGAAAACUUGAGUGCAGAAGAGGAAAGUGGAAUUCCAUGUGUAGCGGUGAAAUGCGCAGAGAUGUGGAGGAACACCAGUGGCGAAGGCGACUUUCUGGUCUGUAACUGACGCUGAUGUGCGAAAGCGUGGGGAUCAAACAGGAUUAGAUACCCUGGUAGUCCACGCCGUAAACGAUGAGUGCUAAGUGUUAGGGGGUUUCCGCCCCUUAGUGCUGCAGCUAACGCAUUAAGCACUCCGCCUGGGGAGUACGACCGCAAGGUUGAAACUCAAAGGAAUUGACGGGGGCCCGCACAAGCGGUGGAGCAUGUGGUUUAAUUCGAAGCAACGCGAAGAACCUUACCAAAUCUUGACAUCCUUUGACAACUCUAGAGAUAGAGCCUUCCCCUUCGGGGGACAAAGUGACAGGUGGUGCAUGGUUGUCGUCAGCUCGUGUCGUGAGAUGUUGGGUUAAGUCCCGCAACGAGCGCAACCCUUAAGCUUAGUUGCCAUCAUUAAGUUGGGCACUCUAAGUUGACUGCCGGUGACAAACCGGAGGAAGGUGGGGAUGACGUCAAAUCAUCAUGCCCCUUAUGAUUUGGGCUACACACGUGCUACAAUGGACAAUACAAAGGGCAGCGAAACCGCGAGGUCAAGCAAAUCCCAUAAAGUUGUUCUCAGUUCGGAUUGUAGUCUGCAACUCGACUACAUGAAGCUGGAAUCGCUAGUAAUCGUAGAUCAGCAUGCUACGGUGAAUACGUUCCCGGGUCA
Molecule: ribosomal RNA, 1372 nt
Filed under: uncultured bacterium
Lineage: Bacteria
Description: bacterial SSU rRNA
Rfam family: Bacterial small subunit ribosomal RNA
Source: RNAcentral